AGAGGAGGAACUGAGGAGAGGAGGAGAGGAGGAGAGAAAAACAAUUGAACUAUUUGAAGUGGUGAUAUGAAUCAGAUGUUGUUGUCCUCUCACUGCUAGACAUGACUUCACCACUAAGACAUGACUUCACCACCAAGGUACUUCAUCUGUUGAUGUCCUCUUACUGCUAGACAUGACUUCACCACUAAGGUCUUCAUCCAUCACAAUGUGGGAGGCCUCCUCCACCGUGACAGCUUUGUCACCAGAUCCUCACUGGCCUUCAACCGGAACCACAUUUCCAAAAGACCUGCAGCUCCUGCUGCUCUGAGGGAGCCAGGAGACACCUCAGUAUAACCUCCCCCCCCAGGCCUGCUGCUCUGAGGGAGCCAGGGGACACCUCAGUAUAACCUCCCCCCAGGCCUGCUGCUCUGAGGGAGCCAGGGGACACCUCAGUAUAACCUCCCCCCAGGCCUGCUGCUCUGAGGGAGCCAAGGGACACCUCAGUAUAACCUCUCCCCAGGCCUGCUGCUCUGAGGGAGCCAGGGGACACCUCAGUAUAACCUCCCCCCAGGCCUGCUGCUCUGAGGGAGCCAGGGGACACCUCAGUAUAAC
Molecule: long non-coding RNA, 591 nt
Filed under: Salmo salar (Atlantic salmon)
Lineage: Eukaryota; Metazoa; Chordata; Actinopteri; Salmoniformes; Salmonidae
Description: lncRNA (ENSSSAG00000087247.1)
Source: RNAcentral